Molecule: unclassified non-coding RNA, 117 nt
Organism: Macaca fascicularis (crab-eating macaque)
Lineage: Eukaryota; Metazoa; Chordata; Mammalia; Primates; Cercopithecidae
Rfam family: Metazoan signal recognition particle RNA
About the family: The signal recognition particle (SRP) is a universally conserved ribonucleoprotein.
Source: Ensembl
GCUGGGUGUGGUGGCUCAUGCCUGUAAUCCGAACUACUUGGGAAGCAGAGGUGGGAGCAUCACUUGAGGCCAGGAGCUCAAGACCAGCCUGGACAAUAUAGUGAGACCCCAUCUCUA